AGGACGAACGCUGGCGGCGUGCUUAACACAUGCAAGUCAAGGGGGCCCGCAAGGGCAACCGGCGAACGGGUGCGUAACACGUGAGCAAUCUGCCUAGAUGUGGGGGAUAGCCGGCCCAACGGCCGGGUAAUACCGCAUACGCUCUCCUGGCGGCAUCACCGGGUGAGGAAACUUUCGAGGCAUCUAGAGGAGCUCGCGGCCUAUCAGCUUGUUGGCGAGGUAUGGCUCACCAAGGCUAUGACGGGUAGCUGGUCUGAGAGGAUGGCCAGCCACAGUUGGGACUGAGAUACCGGCCAGACUCCGUACGGGAGCAGCGAGGUGGGAAUGUGCGACAAGUGGACCGAAAGGCUAGACGCGACGGCGACGGCCGGCGGUGGGGAAAA
This 383-nucleotide ribosomal RNA is filed under the name uncultured soil bacterium. Its description in RNAcentral is "bacterial SSU rRNA". It matches the Rfam family "Bacterial small subunit ribosomal RNA", at positions 26 to 411 of the family's 1533-position model. The record is from RNAcentral.